UUCAGGACCGGGUCCCGGCCCGGGUCGCUCCCACGGGGGUGGAGUGAGGAGGGUCCCUUCCUCACUCAGCCCCUCUUAUUCCAGCCCUUCCCGUCCUCUCCCCUCCGCGGCCCCAGGCCGGCUGUUCUGUGCACCUGCCAGUGCCUCUCCUUGGGCACCGUUCUCAGUACUCAUCUUCACUAUGGUGUCUUUCCCCGUGUGUCCUUUCUGUAACCCUCUGUGACCUCCUUCAGUGAGGGAGCCACUGUGCCCCUCCAUCGCUCCGCCUCAUCUUGAGUAUUUCCGCCAUGGUUUCCAUUACUGGGGCUCUGUGUAUUUAUUUGUCCACAUCUGUCUUUCCUGUCACAAUGUGGCAGGGGUUUUGUGGCCUUCGCCGUGCCCCGGCUCCUCCCCAGACCCGUGACUGGCGUAGGGCAGAUAUUCAGUAAAUUAAUGAACAAGGUGGGUAACGGUUGGUAAUCAGUCACAUCUGACUGUGAAGUUCAACACCCAGCUUGUUACUUCGCAGCUUCUUAGCUGUUGUUACACCUUGGAAUCAAAAAUGAGCCCAGCCCCUCAGGAUCAGCACAUCUCAAGAUCACCCCUUGUAAUGAGUACAAACAAAACAGAAGCCCACCUGGGAACAACCCACAACCGAACAGCCUCCUGUAAAAUGUUGGAUGAAAACAGCAAGCCCCUUUGAAAUGCACAGAGAAUCUCUAAAUGAAAAGACAAGCCACAAACAGAAAAUCUGUAACUGAGGAGACGCUGCUAUCCUGACAUAAUGAGAACGUGCAGAGACCAACCAGAUGGGCACACGAGUGCAGGAGAGACCGGAAGGGCCCGAGCAGCCCUCCCGGCUGGAGGCCAGACCAGUGGUGCCUCCCUGUGUCCUUAGGAAGGCCUCGGGGCCCCCUCCUGCCCUGCAGCCCGCAUGAGCCUCAGACUGCAGCCCAGGGUGCUUCCCACAUGGGCCCUGCUGUGUCCCCUCUCACCCAGGCCUCUGUGACCUUGUCCCACCCACUCCUUGCCCUCUGGCUCCCAGACUAGCCCCAGCCCUGCAGGCUGCUGUUCUUGUGACUCUCAGUGUGGCCUUGGUCACCUGGGCUACCCUGCCCCAGUCUGUGCAGUGCCCGUGUCCUUCUGCCUUGCAGAACUUGGUUCUGUGGUCACGUGUCAGCACCCUGUCCCUGUGCACACUCAGGGAUGUCAGCUCCAGCACAACACCGACCUCUUUCUUUCCUUGCUGUGUCCCCGGCACCGUCACAGGCCUGGCACUCAGCAGAACCUCAAGAGCACCGCUGGUGGACAUAAGACAACUACCAACCAGGGCGCCUGGGUGGCUCAGCCAGUUAAGCAUCCGACUUCGGCUCAGGUCAUGACCUCACCGUUGACGAGUUCAAGCCCCACAUCGGGCUCUGUGCUGACAGCUCAGAGCCUGGAGCCUGCUUGGGAUUCUGUGUCUCCCUCUUUCUCUGCUCCUUCCCUGCUCAUGCUCUCUCUCUGUCUCAAAAAUAAAUGUAAACAUUUAA
Molecule: long non-coding RNA, 1511 nt
Organism: Neofelis nebulosa (Clouded leopard)
Lineage: Eukaryota; Metazoa; Chordata; Mammalia; Carnivora; Felidae
Exons: 3
Source: RefSeq, a predicted model, not a curated record